Molecule: transfer RNA, 75 nt
Rfam family: tRNA
About the family: Transfer RNA (tRNA) molecules are approximately 80 nucleotides in length. Their secondary structure includes four short double-helical elements and three loops (D, anti-codon, and T loops).
UGGGGGUAUAGCUCAGUUGGGAGAGCACCUGCCUUGCAAGCAGGGGGUCGCGAGUUCGAGUCUCGCUAUCUCCAU